RNAcentral lists this ribosomal RNA (497 nucleotides) under uncultured bacterium. Its description in RNAcentral is "partial 16S ribosomal RNA". It matches the Rfam family "Bacterial small subunit ribosomal RNA", at positions 28 to 507 of the family's 1533-position model. The record is from RNAcentral.
GAUGAACGCUGGCGGUGUGCCUAAUACAUGCAAGUCGAGCGAACGGACGAGGAGCUUACUCCUCUGACGUUAGCGGCGGACGGGUGAGUAACACGUGGAUAACCUACCUAUAAGACUGGGAUAACUUCGGGAAACCGGAGCUAAUACCGGAUAACAUGUUGAACCGCAUGGUUCAACAGUGAAAGACGGUCUUGCUGUCACUUAUAGAUGGAUCCGCGUCGCAUUAGCUAGUUGGUAAGGUAACGGCUUACCAAGGCAACGAUGCGUAGCCGACCUGAGAGGGUGAUCGGCCACACUGGAACUGAGACACGGUCCAGACUCCUACGGGAGGCAGCAGUAGGGAAUCUUCCGCAAUGGGCGAAAGCCUGACGGAGCAACGCCGCGUGAGUGAAGAAGGUCUUCGGAUCGUAAAACUCUGUUAUUAGGGAAGAACAAAUGUGUAAGUAACUAUGCACGUCUUGACGGUACCUAAUCAGAAAGCCACGGCUAACUACGUG